GACCACGAACAGAGCACUUUUCUGGAACGGAAAGGGUGAGGACUCGCAGCAAAGUCAUGCCUACAGAGCUGGAUUCAGUGUGGUUGCCACCCUCGAAGAGCGACAGAACAAGUCAAAACUCCUCAGAGGAUGGUGUCCAGAGCAGGAAGAGGAUUUCACUGUGUGUCACAUUUGGGACUCUCAGAGUAACUGAGCCUACUUAUCUGGAGAAGCAACCGAAGGCGUGACUAUCUGGCUGCAGGACCAGACAGACAGAAACCUCCAUUUGCAAAUGGCACCCAACAUGAGGCAUAAACCCACAACCCUGGGAUUAAGAGUCCCAUGUUCUAGCUGGGCCUUGCGUCUGCAGAUCCUGCAUGGUGGCUGGUUGAACCAAGUGUCCACUCACUGCUGCCAAUCCUUGUGGAAGUGGGUCUUCAGGAUCAUGACAUUCCGGCUGGGCACCAUGGCUGCCUCCUGUGCAAGAGAACGGCCAAGUGCAGUAGAUGGUGAGACAAUGUCAGCAGUAGCAAGUGGUGUAGUGCCAUGUGGGUAGGAAGUACAUGAAGCUGAGAAGACAAAGGGCUUGAUCUUCGAUGGGCAAGUUUGACUACUGAUAGAGAAGCAGCUGGGACACCCCCCCCCCCAACCCAGGUAGUCCAAGGGGGUCAGGAAUCAGGAGUGGGGAUGUCCUUUUGACCUAUGAGGGCACGGUGGUGCAUACCCUUAGCGCCAGCAGGUGGAUCUUUGAAGAUUCAAGGCCAGCCUGGUCUACAAAACAAGGUUCAGGCCAUCCAGAGCCACAUGAUGAGACCCUGCCACCACUACACCUACCCCCAACCUCCCAUCAAGCACCCACAUUGUGGACAUCCAUUCAGUUACAGGGCUCCAAGAGGUCCUGGUUGAAUUUCCUCCACAGGUUGAAGCUGGUCAAUCUCUUUGACAACUAACAGCUAACAAAAUCCAAGGAGGGACCUCAGUGGGAGCAGAGUACAAACACCAUCUCUAUGAGGCUCCAUGUGCAAGGGAUGUGAGCAGAAGCAGCGUUCCAGGGGAAGCGUUAUGGAGCAAUUGAAUAUCAUAUUCCUGGAGUGACAUGUUGCAAAAAACUGCUGUCUGAUCUAUGCC
Molecule: long non-coding RNA, 1107 nt
Filed under: Cricetulus griseus (Chinese hamster)
Lineage: Eukaryota; Metazoa; Chordata; Mammalia; Rodentia; Cricetidae
Description: lncRNA (ENSCGRG00015035060.1)
Source: RNAcentral